UGCCAUAGCAAGUAUAGCACCUAGACUGAUGGAAGACUCCUCUUGGCAUAAGAAGCUUGCUUUAAGAUGAGCUAACCCCUGUAAAAUUUACAAAAGAAGCUGCUCAAGAAAAACUUUUUGCAGCAAAAACAAACAAAAUGGCCCCUGUCCACAUAAAGACAAAAGGGCCAGCUAAGGAUCCUAACUAGUAACAAAACAUCCUGAAAUUUUGACAACUAGAACUCUUAAGUAAUCAAAGAGAAAAUCAGCACCAUAUCAAAAUAUGAGCCAAUCCACACAAGAUGUCAAUAACAGUAAGGAGCGGUAGACAGAGUUGCAACCGCUCCCUAGCCUUCAGAAUAUCCGCAGAGCAAAGAAAGAACGUCCUGCACUCCAACAGCCCGGCACCCCACAAAGCCAAACCUCAACCGCAAAACACAAAGCAAACAGCAGGACGGAAACCCCCUUGACCUUGGCAGAGAAACGGAAAGGAGAAAAAGGAAGUCCUCCAUCAGCUCAUCUUGACUGCUGUUCUUAAGAAUCAUCCAUCAAAACUCCAAAACGCAACCGCAGCCUUGUCAACCAAACCCCGUCCCAAACCUAUGAUAACUAUUCCUUAACCACACCCUCCAAGAUCAACAAGCAGAGGAUCAGAGACGGCAGAGACACUUCCUCGUGAAGACCCCCCACCAAGACAACAAAAACCACCCGUCCCACAACCCUUCACUCCCCGACUUCAACCAACCUCAAGAAGCAAAAGAAGAUAACAGCAAUCACAUCCAACCAUGCCCCAUGCAUGCAUCCGCCUCCCCUUCCCCCUAAUGAAAAGAACCUAACCCAAAAGCAUGAAGGAUCAAGCCACAAUAAAAAGCAAACAUGGUUGAUUCCCAAAUAACAAGGAGAAAAUCUGUAUACAACAAGGAAAGCAAGCAAAUUUGCCCCCCGUGAGAGCAAGCUCCCUAGGCCCAGCCAUUUCAAAGCCAAUUCAAGUGGUCCAAAGGCUUUU
Theobroma cacao (cacao) is the source of this 985-nucleotide non-coding RNA. NCBI's taxonomy places the organism in Eukaryota, Viridiplantae, Streptophyta, Magnoliopsida, Malvales, Malvaceae. The record is from RefSeq and is a predicted model, not a curated record.